CAGUAGCCACGGUAAUACAGAGGGUGCAAGCGUUAAUCGGAAUUACUGGGCGUAAAGCGCGCGUAGGUGGUUUGUUAAGUUGAAUGUGAAAUCCCCGGGCUCAACCUGGGAACUGCAUCCAAAACUGGCAAGCUAGAGUAGGGCAGAGGGUGGUGGAAUUUCCUGUGUAGCGGUGAAAUGCGUAGAUAUAGGAAGGAACACCAGUGGCGAAGGCGACCACCUGGGCUCAUACUGACACUGAGGUGCGAAAGCGUGGGGAGCAAACAGGAUUAGAGACCCCAGUAGUCCCUGUCUCUUAUAC
Molecule: ribosomal RNA, 301 nt
Filed under: uncultured bacterium
Lineage: Bacteria
Description: partial 16S ribosomal RNA
Rfam family: Bacterial small subunit ribosomal RNA
Source: RNAcentral